CCGAAUUGAGUGUCAUGAAUGUGUUUCUUGUGAUUGAUUUGUUGUGAUAUCUCAAGUCAGUUAUCACUUGGGAGAUUUGAUAGACAUUGACCAGAAACUAUUAUGGCUGUAGCAUGUGGUAUUCAUCUAUAUUUGCGUUUCCAUACUGUUGUUGAACCAUCCAAUUAUGGUAAGGACAUCCUUUUUUCGUCUUGACAAUGGUUACAAGCCUGGGACCGACCAAGGAAACAAAGGCUGACAACUAGGCCUGCAAGAUAAAGCACCUAAGAAUCGGGAUCGAAACAUACCAAUUACCAAAUCCACCUAUCUUCGCUGGCAUAACCCUAAAAUAGAUCAUUACCAACUGAGGCUUCCAAGCCAACUUGAUUAGCUUGCGAAGGAUGAAUGAGACCACAUGGAAAUGUGAACGUUUCUCUUCAUUCAAGAUUCAUUUUCCUUAAACAUUGACGGUGUUUAUUUAUAAUAUUAGAGAGAGGUCUUCAAGUCCAGGAGGAUGGGACAUUUGCUAAUUGCAUACUAAGAAUAAUAUGUGAUGAAUGCAACAUCAAAGAGAUCGGAGCGUCUGUUAAAACUUUGCUUAGUUAAUUCUAUGAAGAGUUUCUGUGCUAUUCAUUGUUCAAAUGUAUGUAAUGAAUUAAGGUGCACUGAGGAGAAUGUCUCUAUUCGAAGUGACUGACUGGGCUUUAUUUUAAGCCUUCUGGUUACAAUAUUUUUUGACUUCUAGUGAUGAAAAAUUAAUUUUGUGUUGUUUAUGUGACUAUUAUUAUCAUUCGUGAGACGAAAAUAGAACAAAAUUUAAUAGCUUCACUUCUUAAAUGACAUAGUUUUUCCUUUUUCCAUCUUUUUUCACAUUACACCAUCUUCAAUGGGGGACUGCUAGAUCACAAAAUUACUUAGAAGUUGUACUGUGUGACAAUUGCUUGCAUUUAUCUACUUCAUACUUUUAUAGGAGUCUAUUUUCAGUAUUAUUUUGAUCACAAUGACAAACAAAGACCGAUUCUCAACAUUUAGCAUAUGUCUGGAUAAGUGUUUCUAGGCGUUUAAACACCUUGAUCAAAUAAUACUUUUGGUUAAACCACUUUUUAUCCACACAUUUAGUAGGACCACAAGUAUGGACCACUUCUCCAUUUACCCCUGGUUAUAAUAAUAACUCUAAGAUGAAAUUAAAGUUUUCCUGAAAAUUAUAACAUAAACAUUUGGUACUUCUGACAGUUGUAGAUAUGUGUCUUUGCAAUUUUUUUACUUAGUUCACAUUGUGACUGUUGAACCUCUUUGUGUUUUUUAGUGGAAAUCAUAUUGCUAUAACAU
RNAcentral lists this long non-coding RNA (1308 nucleotides) under Olea europaea subsp. europaea. Lineage: Eukaryota; Viridiplantae; Streptophyta; Magnoliopsida; Lamiales; Oleaceae. The record is from RNAcentral.